Molecule: ribosomal RNA, 551 nt
Filed under: uncultured Acaulospora
Lineage: Eukaryota; Fungi; Glomeromycota; Glomeromycetes; Diversisporales; Acaulosporaceae
Description: SSU rRNA
Rfam family: Eukaryotic small subunit ribosomal RNA
Source: RNAcentral
UUGGAGGGCAAGUCUGGUGCCAGCAGCCGCGGUAAUUCCAGCUCCAAUAGCGUAUAUUAAAGUUGUUGCAGUUAAAAAGCUCGUAGUUGAAUUUCGGAGUUUGUCGGUCGGUCGGGCUUCACUGUCCGCACUGGCCUGACGGAUUCCUACCUUCUGAAUAACCAGCAUGCUAUUAAGUUAGUGUGUUGGGGAAGCAGAGCUAUUACCUUGAAAAAAUUAGAGUGCUUAAAGCAGGCUUAUGCUUGAAUAGAUUAGCAUGGAAUAAUAAAAUAGGACGGCAUGGUUCUAUUUUGUUGGUUUCUAGGAUCACCGUAAUGAUUAAUAGGGAUAGUUGGGGGCAUUAGUAUUCAAUUGUCAGAGGCGAAAUUCUUGGAUUUAUUGAAGACUAACUUCUGCGAAAGCAUUUGCCAAGGAUGUUUUCAUUAAUCAAGAACGAAAGUUAGAGGAUCGAAGACGAUCAGAUACCGUCGUAGUCUUAACCAUAAACUAUGCCGACUAGGGAUCAGACGAUGUUAAUUUUUUAAUGACUCGUUCGGCGCCUUACGGGAAAC